AGUAGUUUGAUCAGUGGCUCGAGGACGAACGCUGGCGGCGUGCCUAACACAUGCAAGUCGAGCGGAGACAUACGACGGAUUUGAAGUUUUCGGAUGGAGAAGAAGAUGUAUGUUUUAGCGGCGGACGGGUGAGUAACGCGUGAGCAACCUGUCCUUCACGAGGGGGAUAACACAGCGAAAGUUGUACUAAUACCGCAUAAGACCACAGAGCCACAUGGCUUAGGGGUCAAAGGAGCAAUCCGGUGAAGGGUGGGCUCGCGUCCGAUUAGAUAGUUGGUGAGGUAACGGCCCACCAAGUCGACGAUCGGUAGCCGACCUGAGAGGGUGAUCGGCCACAUUGGGACUGAGACACGGCCCAAACUCC
RNAcentral lists this ribosomal RNA (364 nucleotides) under uncultured Coriobacteriales bacterium. RNAcentral describes it as "bacterial SSU rRNA". It matches the Rfam family "Bacterial small subunit ribosomal RNA", at positions 9 to 339 of the family's 1533-position model. Lineage: Bacteria; Bacillati; Actinomycetota; Coriobacteriia; Coriobacteriales. The record is from RNAcentral.